UUCCGGUUGAUCCUGCCGGAGGUCACUGCUAUUGGGAUUCGACUAAGCCAUGCGAGUCGAGAGGGUUCGGCCCUCGGCUGACGGCUCAGUAACACGUGGAUAAUCUGCCCUUAGGUGGAGGAUACCCUCGGGAAACUGAGAAUAAUACUCCAUAGGCCUAGGAUGCUGGAAUGCAUCUAGGCUCAAAGUUCCGGCGCCUAAGGAUGAGUCUGCGGACUAUCAGGUUGUAGUCAGGGUAAUGACCUGACUAGCCUACGACGGAUAUGGGUUGUGAGAGCAAUAACCCAGAGAUGAUAUCUGAGACACGAUAUCAGGCCCUACGGGGCGCAGCAGGCGCGAAAACUUCACACUGUGCGAAAGCGCGAUGAGGGAAUCCCAAGUGCUUGCUCGUAAGAGUAAGCUGUUUUUAUGUUUAAAACGCAUAGAGAGUAAGAGCUGGGUAAGACGGGUGCCAGCCGCCGCGGUAAUACCUGCAGCUCGAGUGGUGGCCGCUAUUAUUGGGCCUAAAACGUCCGUAGCCGGUUUAAUAAAUGCCUGGGUAAAUCGUGUAGCUCAACUAUACGAAUUCCAGGUAGACUGUUAAACUUGGGACUGGGAGAAGCUAGAGGUACUCCUGGGGUAGAGGUGAAAUUCUGUAAUCCUAGGGGGACCACCAGUGGCGAAAGCGUCUAGCUAGAACGGGUCUGACGGUGAGGGACGAAGCCCUGGGGCGCAAACCGGAUUAGAUACCCGGGUAGUCCAGGGUGUAAACGCUGCUUGCUUGAUGUUAGUCGGGCUCCGAGCCCGAUUAGUGUCGGAGAGAAGUUGUUAAGCAAGCUGCCUGGGAAGUACGGUCGCAAGACUGAAACUUAAAAGAAUUGGCGGGGAGCACAGCAACGGGUGAGCGUGCGUUUAAUGGAAUCAACGCCGGA
This 911-nucleotide ribosomal RNA is filed under the name uncultured archaeon. RNAcentral's name for it is "bacterial SSU rRNA". It matches the Rfam family "Archaeal small subunit ribosomal RNA", at positions 1 to 922 of the family's 1478-position model. The record is from RNAcentral.